This 69-nucleotide transfer RNA is filed under the name Bos taurus (domestic cattle). It matches the Rfam family "tRNA". Rfam says of the family: Transfer RNA (tRNA) molecules are approximately 80 nucleotides in length. Their secondary structure includes four short double-helical elements and three loops (D, anti-codon, and T loops). The record is from Rfam by way of RNAcentral. Lineage: Eukaryota; Metazoa; Chordata; Mammalia; Artiodactyla; Bovidae. RNAcentral also lists the same sequence under 1 other name.
CCUGGUAGCUCAGACGGUAAAGCGUCUGCCUGCAAUGCGGGAGACCCAGGUUCGAUCCCUGGGUCAGGA